RNAcentral lists this ribosomal RNA (375 nucleotides) under Triticum aestivum (bread wheat). RNAcentral describes it as "partial small subunit ribosomal RNA". The record is from RNAcentral. Lineage: Eukaryota; Viridiplantae; Streptophyta; Magnoliopsida; Poales; Poaceae.
AUGUCCGAGCUGGUGAGAAACCAGGCCAUCCAGGAGAAGCUCUACGAGGAGAUCAAAGCGACGACGAGAGACGACCAGGAAGAGGUCUCCGAGGAAGACAUCCAGAGCAUGCCUUACCUGAAGGCGGUGGUGCUAGAGGGCUUGCAGAAGCACCCGCCUGGGCACUUCGUGGUGCCACACAUGGCAGCAGAGGACGUGGAGGUCGGCGGGUAUCUCAUCCCCAAGGGUGCCACGGUGAGCUUCAUGGUGGCUGAGAUGGGCAGGGACGAGCGGGAGUGGAAGAAGCCGAUGGAGUUCAUUCCGGAGGCAGGCAGAGGGUUGGACGUGACAGGCGGCAGCACGGCGGCGUCGACCGGAGGGUCUGCGCAGGUCUGA